AAAUUGAAGAGUUUGAUCAUGGCUCAGAUUGAACGCUGGCGGCAGGCCUAACACAUGCAAGUCGAGCGGUAGCACAGAGAGCUUGCUCUCGGGUGACGAGCGGCGGACGGGUGAGUAAUGUCUGGGAAACUGCCUGAUGGAGGGGGAUAACUACUGGAAACGGUAGCUAAUACCGCAUAAUGUCGCAAGACCAAAGUGGGGGACCUUCGGGCCUCAUGCCAUCAGAUGUGCCCAGAUGGGAUUAGCUAGUAGGUGGGGUAACGGCUCACCUAGGCGACGAUCCCUAGCUGGUCUGAGAGGAUGACCAGCCACACUGGAACUGAGACACGGUCCAGACUCCUACGGGAGGCAGCAGUGGGGAAUAUUGCACAAUGGGCGCAAGCCUGAUGCAGCCAUGCCGCGUGUGUGAAGAAGGCCUUCGGGUUGUAAAGCACUUUCAGCGGGGAGGAAGGCGGUGAGGUUAAUAACCUCAUCGAUUGACGUUACCCGCAGAAGAAGCACCGGCUAACUCCGUGCCAGCAGCCGCGGUAAUACGGAGGGUGCAAGCGUUAAUCGGAAUUACUGGGCGUAAAGCGCACGCAGGCGGUCUGUCAAGUCGGAUGUGAAAUCCCCGGGCUCAACCUGGGAACUGCAUUCGAAACUGGCAGGCUAGAGUCUUGUAGAGGGGGGGGUAGAAUUCCAGGUGUAGCGGUGAAAUGCGUAGAGAUCUGGAGGAAUACCGGUGGCGAAGGCGGCCCCCUGGACAAAGACUGACGCUCAGGUGCGAAAGCGUGGGGAGCAAACAGGAUUAGAUACCCUGGUAGUCCACGCCGUAAACGAUGUCGAUUUGGAGGUUGUGCCCUUGAGGCGUGGCUUCCGGAGCUAACGCGUUAAAUCGACCGCCUGGGGAGUACGGCCGCAAGGUUAAAACUCAAAUGAAUUGACGGGGGCCCGCACAAGCGGUGGAGCAUGUGGUUUAAUUCGAUGCAACGCGAAGAACCUUACCUGGUCUUGACAUCCACAGAACUUUCCAGAGAUGGAUUGGUGCCUUCGGGAACUGUGAGACAGGUGCUGCAUGGCUGUCGUCAGCUCGUGUUGUGAAAUGUUGGGUUAAGUCCCGCAACGAGCGCAACCCUUAUCCUUUGUUGCCAGCGGUCCGGCCGGGAACUCAAAGGAGACUGCCAGUGAUAAACUGGAGGAAGGUGGGGAUGACGUCAAGUCAUCAUGGCCCUUACGACCAGGGCUACACACGUGCUACAAUGGCAUAUACAAAGAGAAGCGACCUCGCGAGAGCAAGCGGACCUCAUAAAGUAUGUCGUAGUCCGGAUUGGGAGUCUGCAACUCGACUCCAUGAAGUCGGAAUCGCUAGUAAUCGUAGAUCAGAAUGCUACGGUGAAUACGUUCCCGGGCCUUGUACACACCGCCCGUCACACCAUGGGAGUGGGUUGCAAAAGAAGUAGGUAGCUUAACCUUCGGGAGGGCGCUUACCACUUUGUGAUUCAUGACUGGGGUGAAGUCGUAACAAGGUAACCGUAGGGGAACCUGCGGUUGGAUCACCUCCUUACCUUAAAGAA
This 1553-nucleotide ribosomal RNA is filed under the name Klebsiella pneumoniae. Its description in RNAcentral is "bacterial SSU rRNA". It matches the Rfam family "Bacterial small subunit ribosomal RNA". The record is from RNAcentral. Lineage: Bacteria; Pseudomonadati; Pseudomonadota; Gammaproteobacteria; Enterobacterales; Enterobacteriaceae.